AGCAUUCGCCAGUCACGCCGAAGACUCCGGUUCGAUUCCUUACGUGGGUACUGUGGGUGGUGCCCAUUUCGGGUGUCCCCCGCCGUGAUGUUGCUGGAAU
Molecule: long non-coding RNA, 100 nt
Organism: Haliotis rubra (blacklip abalone)
Lineage: Eukaryota; Metazoa; Mollusca; Gastropoda; Lepetellida; Haliotidae
Exons: 3
Source: RefSeq, a predicted model, not a curated record